UUGGAGGGCAAGUCUGGUGCCAGCAGCCGCGGUAAUUCCAGCUCCAAUAGCGUAUAUUAAAGUUGUUGCAGUUAAAAAGCUCGUAGUUGAAUUUCGGGAUUCAUCCGUUGGUCGGGCUUCACGGUCCGCACUGGUGUGAUGGGUUCCUACCUUCUGAAUAACCGGCAUGCCAUUAAUUUGGUGCGCCGGGGAAGCAGAACUAUUACCUUGAAAAAAUUAGAGUGCUUAAAGCAGACAAGUGCCUGAAUAGGUUAGCAUGGAAUAAUAAAAUAGGACGGCAUGGUUCUAUUUUGUUGGUUUCUAGGAUCACCGUAAUGAUUAAUAGGGAUAGUUGGGGGCAUUAGUAUUCAAUUGUCAGAGGUGAAAUUCUUGGAUUUAUUGAAGACUAACUUCUGCGAAAGCAUUUGCCAAGGAUGUUUUCAUUAAUCAAGAACGAAAGUUAGGGGAUCGAAGACGAUCAGAUACCGUCGUAGUCUUAACCAUAAACUAUGCCGACUAGGGAUCGGACGAUGUUAAUUUUUUAAUGACUCGUUCGGCGCCUUACGGGAAAC
This 551-nucleotide ribosomal RNA is filed under the name uncultured Glomeromycotina. Its description in RNAcentral is "SSU rRNA". It matches the Rfam family "Eukaryotic small subunit ribosomal RNA", at positions 548 to 1098 of the family's 1831-position model. Lineage: Eukaryota; Fungi; Glomeromycota. The record is from RNAcentral.